AGGACGAACGCUGGCGGCGUGCUUAACACAUGCAAGUCGAGCGAUGAAGCUUCUUCGGGAGUGGAUUAGCGGCGGACGGGUGAGUAACACGUGGGUAACCUGCCUCAUAGAGGGGAAUAGCCUUCCGAAAGGAAGAUUAAUACCGCAUAAGAUUGUAAUAUCGCAUGAUAUAGCAAUUAAAGGAGCAAUCCGCUAUGAGAUGGACCCGCGUCGCAUUAGCUAGUUGGUGAGGUAACGGCUCACCAAGGCGACGAUGCGUAGCCGACCUGAGAGGGUGAUCGGCCACAUUGGGACUGAGACACGGCCCAGACUCCUACGGGAGGCAGCAGUGGGGAAUAUUGCACAAUGGGGGAAACCCUGAUGCAGCCAACGCCGCGUGAGUGAUGACGGUCUUCGGAUUGUAAAGCUCUGUCUUCAGGGACGAUAAUGACGGUACCUGAGGAGGAAGCCACGGCUAACUACGUGCCAGCCGCUGC
RNAcentral lists this ribosomal RNA (476 nucleotides) under uncultured bacterium. RNAcentral describes it as "bacterial SSU rRNA". It matches the Rfam family "Bacterial small subunit ribosomal RNA", at positions 26 to 518 of the family's 1533-position model. The record is from RNAcentral.